This 425-nucleotide ribosomal RNA is filed under the name uncultured bacterium. RNAcentral's name for it is "partial 16S ribosomal RNA". It matches the Rfam family "Bacterial small subunit ribosomal RNA", at positions 354 to 796 of the family's 1533-position model. The record is from RNAcentral.
GUGGGGGAUAUUGCACAAUGGGGGAAACCCUGAUGCAGCGACGCCGCGUGAAGGAAGACGUACUUCGGUAUGUAAACUUCUAUCAGCAGGGAAGAAGAUGACGGUACCUGACUAAGAAGCCCCGGCUAACUACGUGCCAGCAGCCGCGGUAAUACGUAGGGGGCAAGCGUUAUCCGGAUUUACUGGGUGUAAAGGGAGCGUAGACGGUGAAGCAAGUCUGAUGUGAAAACCCGGGGCUCAACUCCGGGAUUGCAUUGGAAACUGUUUUACUUGAGUGCUGGAGGGGCAAGCGGAAUUCCUGGUGUAGCGGUGAAAUGCGUAGAUAUCAGGAAGAACACCGGUGGCGAAGGCGGCUUGCUGGACAGUAACUGACGUUGAGGCUCGAAAGCGUGGGGAGCAAACAGGAUUAGAAACCCGAGUAGUCC